UGAAAUAAAGCCAAACCUGUCGAGAGACAGGGACGGAAAGCCACGGGGCCAUGGACUGCAUCGCAGACAAGCUCUUUCCAUAGUUAGCCGGGUUGCCUUAU
This 101-nucleotide non-coding RNA is filed under the name Desulfobulbaceae bacterium. RNAcentral's name for it is "c-di-GMP sequence". It matches the Rfam family "c-di-GMP-I-GGC riboswitch aptamer". The record is from RNAcentral. Lineage: Bacteria; Pseudomonadati; Thermodesulfobacteriota; Desulfobulbia; Desulfobulbales; Desulfobulbaceae.